AUGGAGGCGCGUCAGAGGACGCGGGUCUUCUACCAGGCCACGCCCGCUGUUGGAGCAGAUGGAAGGAACAUCAUGAAGCUGAUUCCUAUUAAAAUAGUCAACGGACAGAAGUCCUCAGUCCCCGUGACUGAAACCGGCGCUGUCACUCAAGACUUGUCCAGAGGGACGGUUUCUGCUGCUAACGUCGUCCCCGGUCAAAUGCGUUCUGCCCGUUUGGACUCGGUAAACAAGCGUCCACCUCGGGCAGCUCCUCCCACCAGACCUUCACAUCAACUUCCAGUGAUGGUGAGCUCUCCAGCCCUUCCCAGAGGUCAGUUCCUUAAGAUCCCUCCCAACGCACAAGUCCAGAGAGUCCCCGUGUCCCAGCUCCCCCCUCUGAUCAAAGACCAGAUCUUCACCUCCUCCUCCAGCAGCUCUACUCCCACAGUAGUGUACGUGUCACCCGUCACCACCAUGAACCAAGCUGUGCCUGAACCAAGCAGAAUCAACCCCACACCUUCUCUCAAGCUCCCAUCCAGCCCAGAUCUUCCCAGAGGAGCUGAACCACACUUAAAACUGGUUCCAAAGGUUUCAGAAAGGCCCAGCAGUCCCAUAAGAUGGGAGAUCGAGGAGGUGGAGGGGCGUGCAGCUGAGACUACAUCACCUUUAAGUUCUCCUUCAGGAGCUCCCCGGGCUGCCGGGGGGGCAGAAAACGCCCUGGUCAUGUACGAGGGGAGGGUGUUCUUCGUUGCCCAAAAUAACGGCUCGUCCUCCGCAGCACCGCGGUCCCGCCAUCCAGCUGUGACCCAAACGGGGCAGAACCCAAGAGUUCAGAACCACUCAAAUGAUGUAAUCGAUCUGUGUGACGAUGACGAGGAGCCAGCUCCGUCCUCUGAGACAUCCCCCGUCUCUCAUCAGGAUGAAGAAAACGUCAUCUUUGUAUCGUAUAUUCCACCCAGAUCGGACUCUGGCUCCAGGCAAGCAGCUGCACGCCGCUCCAGCUGCCAAGCUGAUGUUCCGGUUCUGAGAGGAGGAGGACUGGGUCAGAACAUGUCCAUCAGCAAGGUGACUGAUGUCCACGCUCCAACAGAGAUGAACAUGUCCAGCACACAGAGUCUCUUCAGCAUCUCAGAUCUGCAGCUGGACAGCAUGGUGAGGGACACGGAGACAGGACGUCCAGCUGGUCACGUGGUGAGGGACACGGAGACGGGACGUCCAGCUGGUCACGUGGUGAGGGACACGGAGACGGGACGUCCAGCGGCUCAAACGCUACAGGAUUCCAGACUUUCUGCUCCUCACAGGACUUCCCCACCGGCACCAGAACCAGAACUCUGCCCAAGGUCCGACCAGCAGCUCAGGCGGAUCUUUGGGAUUACGUCUGAUGUGAAAGUUUUCCUACAGAAGCUGGAUGAAGCAGCAGCAGAACGGUUGUUGGAGGAUAAUAGAAAAGCAACAAAACGCUUGAAAGAAAACAAAACGACUCCUGAGAAGUUAAACGGGACUGGCCGUGGGCUCUCAGCACCUCUCCACACAAAGACCGGGCCUCUGGACAGUUUGAAUUUCCACUCAAAGCCUCAGGAGAGCUUUUGGACAGGUCAGAGGUCAUCUGAGAAAGGUUACGUGGAACCAAUAGAUGAAGAUUUCCCAGAUGAAAGUGUCAGAUCAGAGGGAACAACUCACAGUCUGCAGGUGCAGACGUGUGUGGACGUCAGCAGAAAAACGAGACGGGUUGGCCGGACGAGGAGGCGCACCAUGUGUCCGUGUUGCAUCCCGGCAGCUCUGCAUCCCGUACUUAAGUCGGGAGUGAGUUUAGAGCAGCUGGAGGCAUGGAUGUUCAUCACGGAGGAGACAGGGAAGCGAGUAGGAAAAGCCAAAGCUUCUAGAAAAGAUGGACGAACAUCUGUGAAGAUCAGCUACCAGAACUGUCAAAUACAUGAAGCAGCGGGUUUGUCCUCCACGUCCACCGACAAUUUUAGCGGACACAAAGAGACAGGACGUCUCAAAGGACUUCAGGGAGUGAAAGAGACAUAA
This is a long non-coding RNA of Nothobranchius furzeri (turquoise killifish), 2010 nucleotides long. The record is from Ensembl. Lineage: Eukaryota; Metazoa; Chordata; Actinopteri; Cyprinodontiformes; Nothobranchiidae.